CAGAAAGACCCUAUGAAGCUUUACUGUAGCUUGAUAUUGGCUCCGGGCUUUGUUUGCGCAGGAUAGGUGGGAGGCGUUGAAGAUUUUCUUGCGGGAAAGUCAGAGCCGUUGGUGAGAUACCACUCUAACAAUGCUAGGAUUCUAACCCUAUACCGUUAUCCGGUUAGGGGACAGUUUCAGGUGGUCAGUUUGACUGGGGCGGUCGCCUCCCAAAAGGUAACGGAGGCGUGCAAAGGUUUCCUCAGGCUGGUUGGAAAUCAGUCGUAGAGUGUAAAGGCAUAAGGAAGCUUGAUUGUGAGACCUACAAGUCGAACAAAGACGAAAGUCGGCCUUAGUGAUCCGACGGUUCCGAGUGGAAGGGCCGUCGCUCAACGGAUAAAAGUUACUCUAGGGAUAACAGGCUGA
RNAcentral lists this ribosomal RNA (405 nucleotides) under Dinophysis sp. Its description in RNAcentral is "partial large subunit ribosomal RNA". It matches the Rfam family "Bacterial large subunit ribosomal RNA", at positions 2081 to 2485 of the family's 2925-position model. Lineage: Eukaryota; Dinophyceae; Dinophysales; Dinophysaceae. The record is from RNAcentral.